AGCGAACGUUAGCGGCGGGCCUAACACAUGCAAGUCGAACGCGAAAGGUCUUCGGACUGAGUAGAGUGGCGCACGGGUGAGUAACACGUAGGUAAUCUACCCUUUGGCGGGGGAUAACGUUCCGAAAGGAGCGCUAAUACCGCAUAAGACCACGGAGUCUCCGGACGCUGUGGGAAAAGGUGGCCUCUUCUUGAAAGCUGCCACCGAAGGAUGAGCCUGCGUCCCAUCAGCUAGUUGGUAAGGUAAUGGCUUACCAAGGCGAAGACGGGUAGCUGGUUUGAGAGAAUGAUCAGCCACACUGGCACUGGAACACGGGCCAGACUCCUACGGGAGGCAGCAGUGAGGAAUAUUGGGCAAUGGGCGAAAGCCUGACCCAGCCACGCCGCGUGAGUGAUGAAGGCCCUCGGGUCGUAAAGCUCUGUGGAGAGGGACGAAAACCCUGGUUUCAAAUAGGCUCCAGGCUUGACGGUACCUCUUUAGCAAGCACCGGCUAACUCUGUGCCAG
RNAcentral lists this ribosomal RNA (505 nucleotides) under uncultured bacterium. RNAcentral describes it as "bacterial SSU rRNA". It matches the Rfam family "Bacterial small subunit ribosomal RNA", at positions 29 to 511 of the family's 1533-position model. The record is from RNAcentral.